GAACAGUUGGAAACGACUGCUAAUACCGCAUAAGCGCACAGCUUCGCAUGAAGCAGUGUGAAAAACUCCGGUGGUACAAGAUGGACCCGCGUCUGAUUAGCUGGUUGGUGAGGUAACGGCCCACCAAGGCGACGAUCAGUAGCCGGCCUGAGAGGGUGAACGGCCACAUUGGGACUGAGACACGGCCCAAACUCCUACGGGAGGCAGCAUG
RNAcentral lists this ribosomal RNA (211 nucleotides) under uncultured bacterium. RNAcentral's name for it is "partial 16S ribosomal RNA". It matches the Rfam family "Bacterial small subunit ribosomal RNA", at positions 144 to 353 of the family's 1533-position model. The record is from RNAcentral.